UGCGUCGUCAGCUCGUCCGUGAGGUGUUGGGUUAAGUCCCGCAACGAGCGCAACCCCUGUUCUUAGUUGCCUUCGGGAUAAGAAGAGCGCGACAAGCCGGAGGAAGGGGGGAGACGUCAAGUCCUCAUGGCCCUUACGCUUAGGGCUACACACGUGCUACAAUGGCCGGUACAAAGGGCUGCAAGCCCGCGAGGGGGAGCGAAUCCCAAAAAGCCGGUCUAAGUGACAGUCUGCAACCCGACUGCAUGAAGUCGGAAUCGCUAGUAAUCGUGCAUCAGCCCAUGCACGGUGAUA
Molecule: ribosomal RNA, 294 nt
Filed under: uncultured bacterium
Lineage: Bacteria
Description: partial 16S ribosomal RNA
Rfam family: Bacterial small subunit ribosomal RNA
Source: RNAcentral